This is a long non-coding RNA of Homo sapiens (human), 1431 nucleotides long. Ensembl annotates it as long intergenic non-protein coding RNA 3095. The record is from Ensembl. NCBI's taxonomy places the organism in Eukaryota, Metazoa, Chordata, Mammalia, Primates, Hominidae.
AGGUUUACGUAGUUAGUGGCUGAGCUGGGUUGCAGACUCAGGCACGUCUGAAUCCGGAGCUGGGGUUCUUACCCACUCCAGUGACUGCCUCUCAGAAAAGAACAGGGCAAUGUCCAUUCUCCUUUUAUUUUCUUUAAGCACCUGAUCAUUCUAAAAGCAUGUGUUCCUCCGUGUGUGUGAGUUGUGUACACGUGUGUGUGUGUUCCUUUCUUUUCUCGGACUCCAGGCUCAUGACUGCUUAUUUGCAUGGUGUUUUGGUGUCAAAGGAGUGUUGAAUGUGUUCUCCACACACCCAGCUUUAUUCCACUCUAGGAGUUUAACUUCUUCAGCAUUGUUAUGAGGUCCCCGGUGACCUCAGUUUCUCCUCUCCGCGUCAUCCAGGACUUCACCUGAAGCUUGAGCUACACGUAAGACUUCAUCUACCUUGCACAGGGCAAUGGAGAGAGGAUGGCAUACCAGAAUCACCAGAUGACAGACAUCGGGGUGCUGUCGGACCCGGGAAUCAGAACCUCUGCAGAUAGAUAUUUUGGAAGGCGCUCCCUAGAUUGGCACCUCUGGUUAGAACCCUGCCCAGGGACUGGACAAGUUGGGCCCAUGGCUCAUAUCUGGCCAGUGUUCAUUGCUUUGUUGAAUCACACUUAAUCCUUUGGUUUUGGUAGAUUCCUGCAAGUAGACUGACAGCUGCAUGUUUGCAGGAAAGUUAAAUAUUUUGACAGCGCAGAAGACUGCUGCAUCUGGAGGGUUCUGGGUCCAGCUAUAACCAGACUUGCCUGUCCUAAACAAAUGGAUUGACUGCUUCCGGCAUCCUCACUUUACUUCUGCAUGGUGACCAACAUCCGGAGCUUAAUUACCUGACAGCCAGGAGGUAGGGGGCAAAGGAAACCUUUUAAUUUAUAGUAAGAAGUGAUCAGUUCCUUUUUUGGGUCUUAGUUAGAAUCCAGGUGCACUUGAAACAAUAAAACCUUGUAUAUAGUUUUCUCCUAUAAGAAACUUCUCAGAUAUUUACCAAAAUCCUGGAAAAAUAUAUAUUGGUCAAUAUACCACAAUUCCCACAAGAGGUAAAUAUUUACAAAAUCUACUUUGGGCGGUGAUGCUGCAAGAAUAUUAAAAGGCGUUGACUUUAUCGUCAAGUGAAUUAUUUCUUAAUUUUUUAAAAUUUAAAUCACAGUAUAUUUGACAAGCUACAGCAGUAGGAAAACACCUUUGCUUUAAACAAAACUACCUUUUCUCAGCAAGAACAGUUACUAGAGUGGGAAAUAAGGUUAAUUUCAGUUUUAUUAAUAAUAUCUGAAAUGAAAUAAUGUUACAACUCUCCCCUCUAACCUCGUUGCUAGACAACUUAGAAUAUUUAUUUAUUUCUCCUUCAGAGAAAAUAAGAGUGGAUGUUACCUUUAAGCAACAUACACAUUUAAUUAAUGAACACAAGGAAAA